UGUAUGCACGCAUGAAGUCGCUUUGGAUAAAAGCAUCUGCUAAAUGGCGUAUA
Salmo salar (Atlantic salmon) is the source of this 53-nucleotide non-coding RNA. The record is from Rfam. Lineage: Eukaryota; Metazoa; Chordata; Actinopteri; Salmoniformes; Salmonidae.